AAGUCGUAACAAGGUUUCCGUAGGUGAACCUGCGGAAGGAUCAUUACCACGUUCCAAACGUUAUCAACCCCGCGAACUGUUUCUAUCUCCCAUCGGGCGAGAAUGAGCUGAAUGACAUCCUGUCGUGUGUGUGAGAUGUCCCGUUGUCAUGACGGGCUCUGGCAGGUGGCAAACAACUUAGCUGAGAGCUGAAAUAUGCAGGAGGCUAGACGGCUGUAUCUCGAUCUGGUGGCUUUUUUCCUUCUAUUCGGCUCGCCGCACCGGCUGAAUAGUGAGGAGCCUAUUACAAACUAUAUUCACCGCUCCUGAUAGUUGACUGAUCUGUCAGCCUGUGUUGAAAGGCCAGUGCUGGCACGUUUAAGUAAUUGAACGUAAAACUACCUAUACAACUGUUAGCAAUGGAUGUCUAGGUUUCC
This 416-nucleotide unclassified non-coding RNA is filed under the name fungal sp. RNAcentral's name for it is "partial internal transcribed spacer region". The stretch from base 1 to 46 matches the Rfam family "Eukaryotic small subunit ribosomal RNA", at positions 1786 to 1831 of the family's 1831-position model. Lineage: Eukaryota; Fungi. The record is from RNAcentral.